Molecule: non-coding RNA, 23 nt
Filed under: Arabidopsis thaliana (thale cress)
Lineage: Eukaryota; Viridiplantae; Streptophyta; Magnoliopsida; Brassicales; Brassicaceae
Source: RNAcentral
UUAGUGAUGUUGAACAUUGUGGU